AUUAGCAGCAUUAAUGCCUCGUAGCCUGAGCACAUCAGAUCUCAGAAGCUAGGCAAGGCAGGGCCUGGUCGGUACUGGCAUGGGAGAUCUAUGGAAAACCGGGCUGCUGCUAUAU
This 115-nucleotide ribosomal RNA is filed under the name Lepisosteus oculatus (spotted gar). Lineage: Eukaryota; Metazoa; Chordata; Actinopteri; Semionotiformes; Lepisosteidae. The record is from RNAcentral.